GAUGUUGUCCUUGUGAAGGUGGCACGCCAUACGAUGGUGGCCUGCCAUGUGAUUGUGCUGGAGUAGAACCCUGAUACGGAAUCUUGCCUGGUUGAGUGGCUCUAGGGGGGCCAUAAGACUGUGGAUGUUGUCCUUGUGAAGGUGGCAUGCCAUAGAAUGGUGGCCUGCAAUAUAUUUGUGCUGGAGUAGAACCAUGGUACGGAAUCUCGCCUGGUUGAGUGGCUCUUGGGGGGCCAUAAGACUCUGGAUGUUGUCCUUGUGAAGGUGGCAUGCCAAACAAUGGUGGCCUGCCAUAUGAUUGUGCUGGAGUAGAACCCUGAUACGGAAUCUCGCCUGGUUGAGUGGCUCUAGGGUGGACAUAAGCCUGUGGAUGCUGUCCUUGUGAAGGUGGCACGCCAUACAAUGGUG
This 408-nucleotide long non-coding RNA is filed under the name Medicago truncatula (barrel medic). Its description in RNAcentral is "long non-coding RNA (MTRU_LNC004670)". Lineage: Eukaryota; Viridiplantae; Streptophyta; Magnoliopsida; Fabales; Fabaceae. The record is from RNAcentral.